This 436-nucleotide ribosomal RNA is filed under the name uncultured crenarchaeote. RNAcentral's name for it is "partial 16S ribosomal RNA". Lineage: Archaea; Thermoproteati; Thermoproteota. The record is from RNAcentral.
UACCGCGGCGGCUGGCACCAGACUUGCCCACCCCUUAUUCUACACCAUUUUUAGAGAUGUCAAAAGACUUUCUUAGCGAAAGUCACUCAGAAUAACCCUGUCAGGCUUUCGCCUAUUGCAGAGGUUUCGCGCCUGCUGCGCCCCAUAGGGCCUGGGUCCUUGUCUCAGUACCCAUCUCCGGGCUCCUCCUCUCAGAGCCCGUACCGGUUACAGGUUUGGUAAGCCAUUACCUCACCAACAGCCUGAUCGGUCGCAGUCCAAUCCAAAGGCCAUAUAGAUUUUGAUCAAAAACCAUUCCAGGUAUCUUGGUCUAUCGCGGUUUAGCCUCAGUUUCCCGAGUUUAUCCACGUCCUCUGGUUAUGUUGACUACGUGUUACUGAGCCGUGUGCCACGUAUUGCUACGUUGACUCGCAUGGCUUAAAUCCGAUNCCCGGGU